RNAcentral lists this ribosomal RNA (168 nucleotides) under Mycoblastus affinis. RNAcentral's name for it is "partial 18S ribosomal RNA". Lineage: Eukaryota; Fungi; Ascomycota; Lecanoromycetes; Lecanorales; Mycoblastaceae. The record is from RNAcentral.
UGGUUGUCAAGCGUGCCGCCCACAGAUCAAACACGAGUGACUGUCUCCUUUUCCCUUUCGAAAGUCUUACUCCUUUCGAAAGUCUAUAGCGAGUCGGUUAAGAUAUGACCGUAGCAGCUCCGCAAGGAGGUGAUAAAACUAGUUCCGUAGGUGAACCUGCGGAAGGAU